This 292-nucleotide ribosomal RNA is filed under the name uncultured bacterium. RNAcentral describes it as "partial 16S ribosomal RNA". It matches the Rfam family "Bacterial small subunit ribosomal RNA", at positions 505 to 796 of the family's 1533-position model. The record is from RNAcentral.
GUUCCAGCCGCCGCGGUAAUACGUAGGAUCCAAGCGUUGUCCGGAUUUACUGGGUGUAAAGGGUGCGCAGGCGGACUUGUUAGUCAGAGGUGAAAUCUCACGGCUUAACCGUGAAACUGCCUUUGAUACUGCAGGUCUUGAAUUGGGGAGAGAGUUGUGGAAUUCCGAGUGUAGCAGUGAAAUGUGUAGAUAUUCGGAAGAACACCAGUGGCGAAGGCAGCAACUUGGCCCCAGAUUGACGCUCAGGCACGAAAGCAUGGGGAUCAAACAGGAUUAGAUACCCGGGUAGUCC